RNAcentral lists this ribosomal RNA (560 nucleotides) under uncultured rumen bacterium. Its description in RNAcentral is "bacterial SSU rRNA". It matches the Rfam family "Bacterial small subunit ribosomal RNA", at positions 36 to 571 of the family's 1533-position model. The record is from RNAcentral.
CUGGUAGCGUGGAUUAGGCAUGCAAGUCGAACGGGAUCCACAAGGUAGCAAUACUGCGUGGUGAGAGUGGCGGAUUGGGGAGGAACGCGUGAGCAACCUGCCCUGGAGAUGGGGAAAACCGUUGGAAACGACGGCUAAUACCGAAUGUGGCGUUCUGCGGCAUCGCAGGGACGCUGAAGGGGGCGCCGCAAGGGCUCCCGCUCCGGGAUGGGCUCGCGAACCAUCAGCUAGUUGGCGGGGUAGAGGCCCACCAAGGCUUACGGUUAGCUGGUCUGAGAGGAUGACCAGCCCCACUGGGACUGAGAUACUGCCCAGACUCCUACGGGAGGCUGCAGUCGAGGAUCAUUCGCAAUGGACGAAAGUCUGACGAUGCGACGCUGCGUGGAGGAUGAAGGCCUUCGGGUUGUAAACUCCUGUCAUAAGGGAAAAGGCUUUUAGGUGCUAAUACCAUCUAAAGUUGAUUGUACUUUAAGAGGAAGGGACGGCUAACUCUGUGCCAGCAGCCGCGGUAAUACAGAGGUCCCUAGCGUUGUUCGGAUUUACUGGGCGUAAAGGGUACG